RNAcentral lists this ribosomal RNA (451 nucleotides) under uncultured bacterium. Its description in RNAcentral is "bacterial SSU rRNA". It matches the Rfam family "Bacterial small subunit ribosomal RNA", at positions 28 to 496 of the family's 1533-position model. The record is from RNAcentral.
GAUGAACGCUAGCGGCAGGCCUAAUACAUGCAAGCCGAACGGCAAGUCUUUAGCAAUAGAAGACCUAGAGUGGCGUAAGGGUGCGUAACACGUAUGCAAUCUGCCCUCAACAGGAGGAUAGCUCCCCGAAAGGGGAUUAAGCCUCCAUAGGAUCGUAAUGUGGCAUCACAUAGCGAUUAAACUACCAGGGGUUGAGGAUGAGCAUGCGCAUGAUUAGUUAGUUGGCGGGGUAACGGCCCACCAAGACGACGAUCAGUAGCUGGUCUGAGAGGAUGAUCAGCCACACUGGGACUGAGACACGGCCCAGACUCCUACGGGAGGCAGCAGUAGGGAAUAUUGGACAAUGGGCGAAAGCCUGAUCCAGCCAUGCCGCGUGAGUGAUGAAGGCCUUAGGGUUGUAAAGCUCUUUCGGCGGGGACGAUAAUGACGGUACCCGCAGAAGAAGCCCCGG